Molecule: ribosomal RNA, 465 nt
Filed under: Vreelandella stevensii
Lineage: Bacteria; Pseudomonadati; Pseudomonadota; Gammaproteobacteria; Oceanospirillales; Halomonadaceae
Description: partial 16S ribosomal RNA
Rfam family: Bacterial small subunit ribosomal RNA
Source: RNAcentral
CCUACGGGGGGCUGCAGUGGGGAAUAUUGGACAAUGGGGGGAACCCUGAUCCAGCCAUGCCGCGUGUGUGAAGAAGGCCCUCGGGUUGUAAAGCACUUUCAGUGAGGAAGAACGCCUGGUGGUUAAUACCCAUCAGGAAAGACAUCACUCACAGAAGAAGCACCGGCUAACUCCGUGCCAGCAGCCGCGGUAAUACGGAGGGUGCGAGCGUUAAUCGGAAUUACUGGGCGUAAAGCGCGCGUAGGUGGCUUGAUAAGCCGGUUGUGAAAGCCCCGGGCUCAACCUGGGAACGGCAUCCGGAACUGUCAAGCUAGAGUGCAGGAGAGGAAGGUAGAAUUCCCGGUGUAGCGGUGAAAUGCGUAGAGAUCGGGAGGAAUACCAGUGGCGAAGGCGGCCUUCUGGACUGAGACUGACACUGAGGUGCGAAAGCGUGGGUAGCAAACAGGAUUAGAUACCCGAGUAGUC